GAACGCUGGCGGCGUGCUUAACACAUGCAAGUCGAACGAUGAAGCCUAGCUUGCUGGGUGGAUUAGUGGCGAACGGGUGAGUAACACGUGAGCAACCUGCCCCUCACUCUGGGAUAAGCGCUGGAAACGGCGUCUAAUACUGGAUACGAAACGCAACCGCAUGGUUAGUGUUUGGAAAGAUUUUUUGGUGGGGGAUGGGCUCGCGGCCUAUCAGCUUGUUGGUGAGGUAAUGGCUCACCAAGGCGUCGACGGGUAGCCGGCCUGAGAGGGUGACCGGCCACACUGGGACUGAGACACGGCCCAGACUCCUACGGGAGGCAGCAGUGGGGAAUAUUGCACAAUGGGCGGAAGCCUGAUGCAGCAACGCCGCGUGAGGGAUGACGGCCUUCGGGUUGUAAACCUCUUUUAGCAAGGAAGAAGCGAAAGUGACGGUACUUGCAGAAAAAGCGCCGGCUAACUACGUGCCAGCAGCCGCGGUAAUACGUAGGGCGCAAGCGUUAUCCGGAAUUAUUGGGCGUAAAGAGCUCGUAGGCGGUUUGUCGCGUCUGCUGUGAAAACCGGAGGCUCAACCUCCGGCCUGCAGUGGGUACGGGCAGACUAGAGUGCGGUAGGGGAGAUUGGAAUUCCUGGUGUAGCGGUGGAAUGCGCAGAUAUCAGGAGGAACACCGAUGGCGAAGGCAGAUCUCUGGGCCGUAACUGACGCUGAGGAGCGAAAGGGUGGGGAGCAAACAGGCUUAGAUACCCUGGUAGUCCACCCCGUAAACGUUGGGAACUAGUUGUGGGGGCCAUUCCACGGUCUCCGUGACGCAGCUAACGCAUUAAGUUCCCCGCCUGGGGAGUACGGCCGCAAGGCUA
RNAcentral lists this ribosomal RNA (855 nucleotides) under uncultured bacterium. Its description in RNAcentral is "bacterial SSU rRNA". It matches the Rfam family "Bacterial small subunit ribosomal RNA", at positions 31 to 896 of the family's 1533-position model. The record is from RNAcentral.